RNAcentral lists this long non-coding RNA (2102 nucleotides) under Homo sapiens (human). RNAcentral describes it as "HSALNT0376244". Lineage: Eukaryota; Metazoa; Chordata; Mammalia; Primates; Hominidae. The record is from RNAcentral.
AGAAAUGCAGAAGCAGAUGGUACUGCUGAACCAAAUGUGUGAAAGGCUAGUAACUCAUAGAUGCAUAUAAUUUUUAGAGUUGGAAGAGACCAAGGAGUUAAAUUCAUCUAACUCCCAUUCUAUAAGUAUUUCAGAUGACUGCAGUUGUGUCCUCAUCAUCAAUCUCUAAAUGAAGUUACUUGAAGCAAUUCUUGAAACCAUAAUAAUAAUGUCUCCAGAAUUGGUGGAUUCUUGGUCUCACUGACUUCAAGAAUGAAGCCACGGACCCUCGCGAAGGACUUUGGACAACAAUUUCUUUGACUGAAACUGGGGUCAGAGUUGCAGACUCCCUGGAACAUGAAAAGUCAAUAAUCUAGUUCCCAAAAGGCAGACAAGAAACUAUUCCCAAGAUGAACAAAUGAUGAGAAUAGAGGUAAAGGUGAAAAUGAUGCUUUGAUGCCUGAAGGUACAACAAACAUCUCAUGACUAUGAGGGGAUGAAAAUGGAUACCAAGGAUACCAAGAUGAUGGAACAAAAAGAAUUGAUUUGGAACAUGACGGCACUAUGGAUUCAUCGUAUUGGACCUCUGUGAUAUAAUUCUGAACUUUUCAUAUAAGACUAAUAUACCCCUACUUGUUUAAUACAACUGUAGAGUUAUCUGCUACUUGCAGCCAAAUGUAAUCCUAACUAAUAUAGGCAAUAAAUCAUGUUUUUAUAUCACUAUGUAGGUCUUCCAAUCUAUUGUCUUUGCCAGAGCUGUCUCCAUUCUUCUAAAAGGUCCCAACUUCCAAAAUUCAAAACCAAGAAAACAACCUCUUUUCUCUGACAUUUUUAUUGGGUCAGACAUUUUGCUGUGUCAGAAAAUGAUUCCAUAUAAUUUGUCCAAAUGGGGAAGGGCUAUGCGAGAUACAAGGAAUUAUAGGGAGAAAAUUAUUGACACAUAUUUAAAAAUAUAUCUCAGCAUAGUUACAAAUACACAGAAACCCAUCCAAAUUAGACUAAGACAGUAAAUUUAUUGGGUGGAUGUAAGUAUAUCUUAUGGACCUAAGGAUAGGAAGUCCGGUUGAACCUCAUUAUGAACUGGAACCAGGAACUGAAAAGUUAUGAACCAGUGCAGCUCUUCUCCCUUUCCUCUAUGGUAACAUGAUCUCUUAUGAUCUACUUUCUUCUUCUCUCUUGCAUUGGCUUUAUCUGCUUCUGCAUGCACAUAGUAGAAAAUAGUAAUUUCAACUGUAUUAGCUCAAAGACAAACUAAGAUUGACUAACACCUGUUACUUUUAUUUUCCAGGCUCUCUGGAGAAUUAAUCUGAUUGGUCAAUUUUUUGGUUGUACAUCAGUCUUUAGUCCAAUUAGUGACCUUGGGAAUGGGGUCAAAUGACUUAGCAAUUCUUAGGACCAAAGGAGAAUACCCUUUUGAAAAGAGGCCAUGGAUAUGUAUAUGUGUGUCAGUGUUUUUUGGAGAAGAAACAUCUCUACUACUCUCCUAAAAUUUUAAUUUGGGGAAAGGUAAACCAAAGUAAUGAUUCAGCCAUUCUACAAACAUUAUUCUCACUUGCUCCUCCUCUUAUGUUUUCUCUCAGGGAAUUCAUCUAGUUGCUCAUGUCAUAAACCUCUACACAACCAAUGAUUACCACAAUAGCUAACAAUUACUAACUCUGUGACAGCUGUUCUACAUGCAUUAUCUUAAGUUCAACCUCACAACAACCAUAGAAGUAGGAAUUAACUAUUUUAUUGAUAACAAAGUGAAAUUUAGAGAUGUUAAGUCAAGCCUUCAAGAGAGAGACCUCAUGUCUCCUUGUCUCUGAUCUUGCCCCGCUGAUCCAUUUCUUUUUUAACCCAGUAAUCAUAGUGGUAUUUCUAAAACACAAAUCUGAUGUUACUUUCCUGCUUAAAAUCCUUCUAUAGUUCCCUUAGGAUAAAGUCCAAAUUUCUUUACAAGAUAUAUACAGCCUUUCUUGAUUUAGGCAACCUCCAUCUAACCAACCUUCACUCCAUCCUCAUCUCUUUUAGUCACUUUGUCCUAAGUUGCACAGAUCAUUUACAGUUCUUAACAAUCCAGAAAAGAAAUGUAUUUUCUACUCCUCUUGUGUUCUCUCUUCUUUUCUCUCUUCUUUCUUUUUUUA